This 73-nucleotide transfer RNA is filed under the name Canis lupus familiaris (dog). It matches the Rfam family "tRNA". Rfam says of the family: Transfer RNA (tRNA) molecules are approximately 80 nucleotides in length. RNAcentral also lists the same sequence under 1 other name. Lineage: Eukaryota; Metazoa; Chordata; Mammalia; Carnivora; Canidae. The record is from Rfam by way of RNAcentral.
GCCUGGCUGGCUCAGUUGGUAGAGCAUGUGGCUCUUGAUCUCAAAGUUGUGAGUUCGAGCCCCACCUUGGGCG